UACGGGGGGAGCAAGCGUUGUUCGGAAUUACUGGGCGUAAAGCGCGUGUAGGCGGUUGUCCAAGUUGGAUGUGAAAGCCUUGAGCUUAACUCAAGAAAUGCAUUCAGGACUGGAUGACUAGAGGACCGGAGAGGAUAGUGGAAUUCCCAGUGUAGUGGUGAAAUACGUAGAGAUUGGGAAGAACACCGGUGGCGAAGGCGGCAUCCUGGACCGGUACUGACGCUGAGGUGCGAAAGCGUGGGGAGCAAACAGG
RNAcentral lists this ribosomal RNA (253 nucleotides) under uncultured bacterium. RNAcentral describes it as "partial 16S ribosomal RNA". It matches the Rfam family "Bacterial small subunit ribosomal RNA", at positions 524 to 776 of the family's 1533-position model. The record is from RNAcentral.